This 136-nucleotide small nucleolar RNA is filed under the name Carlito syrichta (Philippine tarsier). Its description in RNAcentral is "Small nucleolar RNA SNORA75 (ENSTSYG00000019760.2)". It matches the Rfam family "Small nucleolar RNA SNORA75". Rfam says of the family: U23 belongs to the H/ACA class of snoRNAs. snoRNAs bind a number of proteins (including dyskerin, Gar1p and Nop10p in the case of the H/ACA class) to form snoRNP complexes. The record is from Rfam by way of RNAcentral. Lineage: Eukaryota; Metazoa; Chordata; Mammalia; Primates; Tarsiidae.
GUCUUCUCAUGAGCUCCUUUCUGUCUGUUGGUGGCAGUGUAGGGAUUCACACAAGAAGAAAAGAGAAUUCACAGAACUGGCAUCACUUUACCUUCUGUCUUUACAGAGGCAAAUUGAGCUGUUUUGUGAGUCAUUC